UACAGAGGUCUCAAGCGUUGUUCGGAUUCCUUGGGCGUAAAGGGUGCGUAGGCGGCGAGGUAAGUCAGAUGUGAAAUCCCGGAGCUUAACUCCGGAACUGCAUUUGAUACUGCUUUGCUUGAGGACUGGAGAGGAGAUCGGAAUUCACGGUGUAGCAGUGAAAUGCGUAGAUAUCGUGAGGAAGGCCAGUGGCGAAGGCGGAUCUCUGGACAGUUCCUGACGCUGAGGCACGAAGGCCAGGGGAGCAAACGGG
This 253-nucleotide ribosomal RNA is filed under the name uncultured bacterium. Its description in RNAcentral is "partial 16S ribosomal RNA". It matches the Rfam family "Bacterial small subunit ribosomal RNA", at positions 524 to 776 of the family's 1533-position model. The record is from RNAcentral.